CCUACGGGUGGCUGCAGUGGGGAAUAUUGGACAAUGGGGGGAACCCUAAUCCAGCCAUGCCGCGUGUGUGAAGAAGGCCCUCGGGUUGUAAAGCACUUUCAGUGAGGAAGAACGCCUGGUGGUUAAUACCCAUCAGGAAAGACAUCACUCACAGAAGAAGCACCGGCUAACUCCGUGCCAGCAGCCGCGGUAAUACGGAGGGUGCGAGCGUUAAUCGGAAUUACUGGGCGUAAAGCGCGCGUAGGUGGCUUGAUAAGCCGGUUGUGAAAGCCCCGGGCUCAACCUGGGAACGGCAUCCGGAACUGUCAAGCUAGAGUGCAGGAGAGGAAGGUAGAAUUCCCGGUGUAGCGGUGAAAUGCGUAGAGAUCGGGAGGAAUACCAGUGGCGAAGGCGGUCUUCUGGACUGACACUGACACUGAGGUGCGAAAGCGUGGGUAGCAAACAGGAUUAGAUACCCCUGUAGUC
RNAcentral lists this ribosomal RNA (465 nucleotides) under Vreelandella stevensii. RNAcentral's name for it is "partial 16S ribosomal RNA". It matches the Rfam family "Bacterial small subunit ribosomal RNA", at positions 338 to 795 of the family's 1533-position model. The record is from RNAcentral. Lineage: Bacteria; Pseudomonadati; Pseudomonadota; Gammaproteobacteria; Oceanospirillales; Halomonadaceae.